UAUUAUGUGUAAGCUCCUUCCGAGCUCCUCCAAGAAUUAAAGCCCUAUUGUGGUAGGCACUGUAACAUAUCUUAAGAAAUUCAAGACUGUUUUGCUACACGGAGUUAACCAUACAUCCGGGCCACCAGAUGCAGAAAAUGGGAGGGAUGCACCAGGGCAGAGGGCAGCAGGCAAUCUGAUAAACAGCAGAGAAUUGGAAAAAAGAAAACCAUCAGCAACAGAAAAGCCUGUGCAAGACAGAAACCUUUGGCAACGGCAUGAGACAAUCCUCUGCAAAGGCAGGUGUGAGUUGUUAGUCAGUCACUCCUAACACAAGUUGUUUUCUGUUUAUUUAUGUAGUCUUUCUGUUUAUUUCUUUCACUCCUGGCUGUUUUUUUCAGCGCUGUUUCAUUCUCAUGUAUUGGCAUAGGUUUGUUUAAUGGCUA
Falco peregrinus (peregrine falcon) is the source of this 425-nucleotide long non-coding RNA. RefSeq lists it as uncharacterized. The transcript is spliced from 2 exons. NCBI's taxonomy places the organism in Eukaryota, Metazoa, Chordata, Aves, Falconiformes, Falconidae. The record is from RefSeq and is a predicted model, not a curated record.